RNA transcript from Mus musculus (house mouse), 1031 nucleotides. It is a transcript of the gene named MAPK regulated corepressor interacting protein 2, with no coding region annotated. Lineage: Eukaryota; Metazoa; Chordata; Mammalia; Rodentia; Muridae. The record is from RefSeq and is marked validated. The transcript has 5 exons.
AAAGUGAAGCUGGUGGAGGGUGCCUGAUCUGGCCGCUGCCAGGGGCGGGCGGGACGGCGCACCAUGUACACUAUCACCAAGGGGCCCAGCAAGCUGGUCGCGCAGCGCCGCACAGGUGCGCAGGGCGGGCGGGCAGGCGGGACGUCCUGACCGCUGGCUCGCGGCGGCUGACAGCGCCCUCCGCCCCGGCCCGCAGGUCCCACACAGCAGCAGGUGGAGAGCAGGCUUGGCGAGCUCCUGAAAUGCCGGCAGCCGGUGCCGCCGACCGCGCUACCCGCGCACCUGCAGCCCUCGGCACAGACUCAGGGACCCUGGCCCCUUGCAAGUGCCCCUCUCACCUGAGGAGGAACCCAGAGCGGCGUGGGGCACCUGAGCCCAGGAAGGCGAGCAGGCCUGCCGGGACCGCGAGUGCCUGGCGGAGUGGCAGGUGCAGCCCAGGACUCCCACCUCCUACUGUAGUUCUGGGCCAAGACUUGUAUUCAAUCGAGUAAACGGCCGGCGACCCCUCACCACCUCCCCAUCCCUCGAGGGGACCCAAGAGACCUACACAGUGGCCCACGAGGAGAACGUCCGAUUUGUGUCCGAAGCCUGGCAGCAGGUAGAGCGACAACUGGAUGGCGGCCCUGCCGAUGAGAGUGGCCCACGGCCUGUGCAGUAUGUGGAGAGCACUCCUGAUCCCCGGCUACAGAACUUUGUACCUAUUGACCUCGAUGAGUGGUGGGCACAGCAGUUUCUGGCUAAAAUCACCAACUGUUCCUAGCAGCUGUCCGGGAAGGAAUGUUGCCAUAGUGGACCCUUUGCCAGAAGAGGACCAUGGUGCGCCGAUCCACCUUGUGGCCUGGCUGGGUACCGGCCACACCUGAAGUGCCAACAUUUGGACUUUUGCACCUGUUGUUCCCUUGGCUUGGCUGUCCCAAGCUGCCAGAGCCAGGGGCCAAACCUGUCUAACCUCAGUCCUGCUCACUGUGCCCAGGGACCAGCCCCUGGGGCUGGCAGGGAGGAGUUCAGGCUAAUAAAGUUGAGAAACUGCC